Long non-coding RNA from Brassica rapa (field mustard), 5119 nucleotides. RefSeq lists it as uncharacterized. The record is from RefSeq and is a predicted model, not a curated record. Lineage: Eukaryota; Viridiplantae; Streptophyta; Magnoliopsida; Brassicales; Brassicaceae.
GCUGGUAACGCAAUUUUCAGUUACGAAAAAAAAACAUUUGUUUGCGUUUGACGUAACGCAAUUUUGUAUAUUUACGUCUCAAGAUGUGUUUAACAAGUUCAAGGACGAAAAAAAAAAAAACAAGUUCAAGGACGAGGAUGGGAAGUUCAAAGCACACUUAGCAGCAGAUGCAAGAGGCCCGUUAAGCUUAUAUGAAGCUGCACAAUGGAGUACUCCUGGAGAAGACACUCUUGAUGAAGUUGUCGCUUUCUCAAAGGCUCAUUUAGAAGAAAUUUCUUCUCGAUCUAGCCCUCAUCUCGCAAUACGCAAACGCCCAAAAACAUCCAUUUCACAAAGGCAUCUCUAGAAUAGAAACGAGGCAAUAUAUCUCAUACUACGAGGCGGAAGAGAAGUGUGACGAAACAUUACUUGAGUAUGCAAAGAUUGACUUUAGUUUGCUGCAAAUGCUGCAUCGCCAAGAGCUUUCCUGUGUAACAAGGUAAUUAUCUCGGCUGCUCAACACAUAUAAGCCGUACCUCUGAGAUAUCGUUGCUCUAUUCAAAAUAAAUAUAUAAAGAUCAAAAUUUAUAUAGGCUUAAUAGCUUAGCGAAAUAAAUACUCUCACUUCAGCUUUCGUAUAAAUCAAUUUGAUGAAAAAAGUUUUAAUCAUUUUUUAUAUACUUACUCCUGUCACUCUGUCAGUGUUUAAUCAAAGGUACGUAAAGUGACUUCUUUUUGUAUUAUUUACUCCGGUCAGUGUUUAAUCAAAGGUACGUAAAGUGACUUCUUUUUGUAUUCAUAGUUAUUUAGGAGAGAAUCAAUUAACCGUACAUGCAACAUUUAGUUUUAUUUUAUUAUUGUUUAUUCUAUAAUUUUUUUCCUAAGUAUUCUACUUUAUUGACUCCCAUUUACAUAUUAUAAAUAUGUUAAAAGAAUUCUAAAAUAAACAAAAACAACUGAUUUUUUUUUAAUAACUUAUCAUAUAAUUUGUACAUUAACUACAUAAUGCAAUUUUUUAAUUAUUUUUUUUUCAAACAUUUUUUUUUUGAAACAUAAGAUUUUUUUUGAAACACUUUAAAAAAAAAUUAUAUAUGUUAUCAUAUAGCCAAAUGUAAUAUUUGAGUUACAUAAUAUUAUAUGAAACAAUAUUCUCUAUAACUCUUAUUUUUUAUCCCUCUAUUACAGUAUAAAAAAUACUCUUGGCUCCAUCGAAAUUGUAAUUAUGAAAUUCUUACACACUAUUAAAAUUAAGUUAUAAUACCAAAAGUAACUUUAUUAUACUACGCAUUUGGAAGAAUUUCAUAGUAAGAAAUUCUUCACUCACUUCAGUAUUUUACAUAUCCCGAAAGCAAAGAACAAAAUGUAUGAUAAGCUUACAUGAAGUGCUCGGACUCAGUCUUCUGCUAUAUAUGGUUUAUGAUAAUUCGAUUCCACAAAGUUGGCUCUCGGAGUCUAGAUCUUCGUAGUUUAGUAUAGCCUAUGUCGAAAAUGUUUAUUUUAAUACAUAAUUUAUUUUUAAAAAUUAUUAUUUGUAGUAAUUAUCAUAAUAAAUAUGGGCAAAGUAGGUAAAGAAGCUAAAAGUUAUAUCGAAACAAAAAUUAUAAUUUUUGUGAAACAACGAAUAAUUAUGAAUGAAAUUCUUUAAUUCUCAGCUUUAACCAGGGCCCAAAGCAGUACAACAUUAAUGGGGCACAUGCACCCAUAAUUUUAUCAAUAUUAACAGUUGUGUAUGUUUAUUUCUUAAUUUCAGCUAGCUAAAAUAGAAAAAGCCUUCAUGCGUACUCCCGACAUCUCAUGUUCGUUCUCAACUUUGUUUUUUUAAUGAGUUAUGCACCCAAUACACUGGGCAAAAUGGGAAAAAGUAUGUCUACCAAGAGAGGAGGGUGGAAUUGGCUUUCGCCUAAUCCAUGAGUUUAAUUUGGCUCUAUUGGCGAAGCAACUAUGGCGGCUUGUCCAGUUCCCUGACUCUUUGGUGGCCCGGGUGAUGAGAGGACGAUACCAUAGACUGAGCUCGCCACUGAGAGUAAUAUCAGCUAAUAGCCCAUCGUAUGUGUGGACUAGCAUUUUGGCGGCAAGGGAGUUGUUAUUGUUGGGAAUUCGUCAUAAGAUUCACUCGGGUUAUGAAGUUAAGGUAUGGGAAAAUCCAUGGAUCCCAAUGACUCCCGCGAGACCAACUAUCCCAGUAGCGCCAGUUAUGAAUCCCAAUAUGAGAGUAAGCGAUCUCAUUAAUCAGGAAUCAAAGGAUUGGGAUGCAAAUCUGUUGGAGAAAUAUGUCAAUAUGGAGGACAUACCACGAAUAAGGAGCUUGGCCAUAAGCUCAGCUCACCGUCGUGACACUUAUUGCUGGAGCUACACGAGGAGUGGACAAUACACGGUCAAAUCGGGAUAUUGGGUGGCUCGAAAUGUAUUAAAGAGAGAGAGGAGGAAAAGCAGGUUGUGGAUCCAAGUAUAACCGACCUUCAAGCCUAUGCUUGGAAGUUGAAGGCGCCUAAGAAGAUAUGUCAUCUUAUAUGGCAAUUGUUAACUGGUCAUGUGGCAGUUACAAGGAACCUAACGAGACGGAAUAUGAGGUGCGAUAACUACUGUCCAAGAUGUGGAGAACUAGAGGAAUCUGUAACACACGCGAUUUUUGAAUGCCCUCCUGCUGUACAAGUUUGGUCUCUUUCAUCAACUCCAACGAGCCCGGGGAUAUUCCCAGUACCAAGCGUCUAUACAAAUAUGGACUAUCUUUUUUGGAGAAAAAAACGCUAUCAUCGAGCCAGACCAAGACAGAGAUCCUUACCCUUGGCUGAUUUGAUACAUUUGGAAGGCUAGGAAUGAGAAACUCUUCAGAGGAAUUGAUAGAGAUCCAUUGGAGCUGGUCCGACAUGCAGAAAGCGAAUGUCAAGCACGGUUUGAGGCGAAUAAGGUCGUACAACCAAUCGUACAAGACAUUAAUGUUGAGGAAUCUCAAGUCAUAAGCUUGGGUAAUAUUUGUUUGUUAGAUGGAUCCUGGACGACUGAAGCUCAUUUCAGUGGAUGCGGAUGGGUGUGGAUGGACAGUGGUGGGAACACCCAACUUAUGGGGGUAAGGAAUCUCACGCGGCGCGGGUCACCCCUGCAUACAGAAUUGGAAGCACUGCGGUGGGAAAUGGAGAACAUGCUCCAACAUUCGACAUGCCAGAGCUUUGGAACGGACUACAAGGAGAUGAUUGCAAUGCUAAAAGAGCCCCAGGCUUGGCCAAGCUUUGCGACGAAGCUGGAAAGGAUUAAGACGCUCCAGAUUUGCUUUCCGGAGUUCAAUAUCACUUAUGUUCCACGAGCGCGAAAUCAGUUCUCAGAUUUUUUAGCCAAGACUGCUAGAUCCUUCCAUAGGGAGUUAUAUUUUAUUGGUUGUUCUAUCCCGGUCUGGUUACCCAGACCACCUCAAGCUUGAGUAAUAGAAUGGCCUUUUGACGUCAAAAAAAAAAAAAAGAGUUAUGCACCCAAUAAUAAAAUUUUCUGGACUGGCCCCGUCUAUUUGUCCAUAACUGGUAUUUAUUUGAAAGUGGGGUCCCAUAAAAAAAGGGCCAUUAAAAUGUUUCAUGAAAAUGCCAUCAAGACUGGCAUGUACUUGACCUUCUUCACUACAUUUCAGGUGGCACAAAUAAAUGGAAUUUGAAUCUAAGAUAACGUACACAAAACAUAGAGUAGCCGAGGAGUACUUGUGCACACUUGGAACAUACUUUAAGCCUUAAUAUUCUCAAGGACGAGUUACAUUAGCUAGUUUAGUCAUCUUACUCACAGCGCUUGAUGAUAUGUAUGAUGCGUAUGGCACAUGAGAGGAACUUGAGCUUUUCACAUAUGCAUUGGAAAAGUACUCAUUUCACAAAAACAUUAAAGAUUUUUAUAUUUAUCGAUGGCAGGCUUAUAACAUGGGUUGCCCUAACAGGUGACUUCCGGAAGCCCCUGAGGGGAUACCUGACAGCAUGAAACAUCUUUACCGUGUCACAAUAGAUUUCUAUGAUAAACUCGAGGAGGAGCUUGAGAUGCAAGGAAAGUCAGGUUGUGGCUCACAUUUUAAGAAAUCAUUGAAAUCAACAGCCAAUGGAUAUAUGCAAGAGGCGAAGUGGUUGAGAAAGGAUUACACUGCCAAAUUUGACGAGUAUAAAGAGAAUGCUAUCUUGUCUUCCGCAUACUAUACCAUGAUGGCCAUGACAUUUGCGGGAAUGGGAGAUUUCACGAAACUUGAUGCUUUUGAAUGGUUAAGCUCCCAUCCUAAAAUAAGGGUAGGUUAUGAUAUAAUAUGUCGAUUCACAAAUGACAUUACCAGCUACAAGGUGAGCACCAACAUCUGAUUUUGAUCUCCUAAAUAUAUUUUAAGUAGGAUGUCAAAUGGGUGAUCCGUGUCCAAAACAUAAUGGGCCAAUUGUGGAAAUAGUCAUAUACGAAGUGUAAUCAAAUGGCUAAGCCCAAUUUUGUCCGUGGAAAAAAAUUGGAUGGAUUGCGUAGACAUUGGUUUGUCCAAAAUACUUAAAAUUGGGUUAAAAUGACUUGGAGGAAGUCAUCAGUGUUCACACAAAUAAAAUGUUCAUUUAGACAUGGACGGUCCAUUGAAAACAUUUGUUUGCCAAAGUAUUGAAUAUAUUUGACAUGUUAUAAUUGCAGUUUGAACACAAAAGGGAGCAUGUAGCGACAGGCAUUGACUGUUAUAUGAAGCAAUUUUGUGUUUCUAAGGAACGAGCCGUUCAAGUAAUCACGAACAUUGUUUCAAAUGCUUGGAAGGACUUGAACCAAGAGCUAAUGAGGCCUCACUCAUUUCGUUUCCCUUUCUUGAUCAGAAUUCGUAACCUUUCGCGUGUCAUUGAUGUUUUUUUAUAGGUAUACAGACGCUUACACCAACCCCGAGUUCUUGAAAGAUCACAUUGUAUGUUUGCUCAUUGAAAAUAUCCCCAAUUGAGAAUGUUCUGGUGGUGGUGAUUAUACCAAUCUAUGGAAUGUUACUGAUCCAUUACGCAAACCCAAUGAUGGCCAAAUUAAAUUUUCGUAUUAUGACAGUUGAACUUUGUCACUGUCCACCAUAUGUUUGUUUGCAUUUUUCAACCCAUUCCUAAAUUUAUAAUUAUUUCUGCUACAUUUGUACUUAUUGUUAGUAGUAAAUUAUUUCCUAUUUUGGCUGGUC